GACGAACGCUGGCGGCGCGCUUAACACAUGCAAGUCGAACGGAAAGGCCUGCUUUCCCUUGUGGAUUGCGGGUACUCGAGUGGCGAACGGGUGAGUAACACGUGAGUGAUCUGCCCCCAACUUGGGUAUAAGCCUGGGAAACUGGGUCUAAUUCCCGAUAGGACUGCAGGGUGGUGCCUGUGGUGGAAAACGAUUUUCUAGUGGUUGGGGAUGAGCUCGCGGCCUAUCAGCUUGUUGGUGGGGUAAUGGCCUACCAAGGCGGCGACGGGUAGCCGGCCUGAGAGGGUGGACGGCCACAUUGGGACUGAGAUACGGCCCAGACUCCUACGGGAGGCAGCAGUGGGGAAUAGUGCACAAUGGGCGGAAGCCUGAUGCAGCGACGCCGCGUGGGGGAUGACGGCUUUCGGGUUGUAAACUCCUUUCGACCGCGAGGAAGCCACCUGGUUGGAAGGGUGGUGACGGUAGUGGUAGAAGAAGCACCGGCUAACUACGUG
RNAcentral lists this ribosomal RNA (494 nucleotides) under uncultured bacterium. Its description in RNAcentral is "partial 16S ribosomal RNA". It matches the Rfam family "Bacterial small subunit ribosomal RNA", at positions 28 to 507 of the family's 1533-position model. The record is from RNAcentral.